This is an unclassified non-coding RNA of Colobus angolensis palliatus, 320 nucleotides long. Its record names the gene 7SK. It matches the Rfam family "7SK RNA". Rfam says of the family: 7SK was discovered as an abundant small nuclear RNA in the mid-70s but a possible function has only recently been suggested. Two independent studies have found that 7SK RNA binds the CDK9/cyclin T complex (known as elongation factor P-TEFb). P-TEFb activates transcription by phosphorylating the C-terminal domain of RNA polymerase II. The record is from Ensembl. Lineage: Eukaryota; Metazoa; Chordata; Mammalia; Primates; Cercopithecidae.
AGAUGUGAGGGUGACCUGCAUGUGACAUCUGUCACCUAAUUGAUGGCCAAGGUUAAUUCAACUGACAGAGGUGGUUAGUUAGGUGUUCCCUUCCUCCCACACCACUCCAUGUGUGCCCCUCCCAAUGCUGAAGCCUUGGUCAAAGAAAACGACCUUCCCCAAUAGAGGAAAAUCAUUCUUCCAUUGAAGCUAUACAAGUAGCUGAACUCCCAGCUAGAAUAUCCAGAAAAGCUCUCAAAAUUGGAGGACUCAAACUUCCUGACACCAAAACUUAAUACAAAGCCACAGUAAUCACUAUAGUGUAGAAGUGGCUUACAGAU